RNAcentral lists this long non-coding RNA (1248 nucleotides) under Podarcis muralis (Common wall lizard). Its description in RNAcentral is "lncRNA (ENSPMRG00000009344.1)". The record is from RNAcentral. Lineage: Eukaryota; Metazoa; Chordata; Lepidosauria; Squamata; Lacertidae.
AUGCUGUUUCUGCCCAAAUCUCCUAGACUCUGUGCCUUUAACGGCCACCUUGUGGCCAGAGUCAGCCUACUGAACAUCUCCAGAUGGUACUCAGUGGAGGGAGGUAGACAGGUCUUGGAUCACAAAGAGUCACAAGCAAUCAAAGAGCUACCUGGCACCCCAACAUGGCAGCCUUCUGCAACCUGGUGCCCUCCAGCUGCUUCAGACGACAAUGAGUUAUAGUCCAAAACAGCUUGAAGGCACCAGGUUGAGCAAGACUGCUCUAUGGCAUUGGUCUUCAACUGGUGGGCCAGGUCCCUACUAUUGGGUCACAGCUUGUCUAAGGUGGAUGGCAAGAACAGCAGAACUCAUACCAUGCAGAUGGUAAAAUUGAGAAUUAGUCCAUAAAUGCCUGUUUGCCUUAAAGGUGCGUCCCAGGUCAGGAAUAGAUUUGCUCUGUGAUGGUGGAGCACACUUUUUGGUUCAAAUGCUGCAAAAUCUCCCGUUUAAAUAACAGCCACCUAGCUUUUGAAAAAAGGGACGCAGGUGGCGCUGUGGGUUAAACCACAGAGCCUAGGGCUUGCUGAUCAGAAGGUCGGCGGUUCGAAUCCCCGCAACGGGGUGAGCUCCCGUUGCUCGGUCCCUGCUCCUGCCAACCUAGCAGGUCAAAAGUACGUCAAAGCACAAGUAGAUAAAUAGGUACCGCUCCAGCAGGAAGGUAAACGGCGUUUCCGUGCGCUGCUCUGGUUCGCCAGAAAGCAGCUUAGUCAUGCUGGCCACAUGACCCGGAAGCUGUACGCCGGCUCCUUGGCUAAUAAAGCGAGAUGAGUGCUGCAACCCCAGAGUCGGCCACGACUGGACCUCUAAUGGUCAGGGGUCCCUUUACCUAGCUUUUGAAAUCUUCACAGACUCUCAUGUUUCCAUUGGAAACACACUCAGAAAUAUGUGAGAGGUCACCCCUGACCAGAGCCCGCCUCCUUCUGUUUCAAAGUGUUUCUCUAUCAUCCAUCCCUGCUGGGGGCUGGGGUGGUUCUGAGGUUGCCUUUGCCAAGGCCUGUUAGCAAAUACACAAACAGCCUUGACCAGAAUGUUCACUUGCAUGUCAAAUGCCUCUGCAAAGCUUUCUCUCUCGCACGAGCAACCGUCAAUCAGUCAUUAACCAAGAGACGGUCAUUUCCAUCUCAUGGUUCAACACAGCCACUCGCCUAAUUCCGGGGGAUCCAGAAUGAAAAGAAAUAAAUACCCCAGUUGUUUCUGAUAUCUGAAGCA